RNAcentral lists this ribosomal RNA (700 nucleotides) under uncultured bacterium. Its description in RNAcentral is "bacterial SSU rRNA". It matches the Rfam family "Bacterial small subunit ribosomal RNA", at positions 42 to 776 of the family's 1533-position model. The record is from RNAcentral.
UCAGGCCUAACACAUGCAAGUCGUACGAGAGUUUUUAACUCUAGUGGCGGACGGGUGAGUAACACGUGAGAAUUUGCCUUUAGGAGGGGGAUAACAAUUGGAAACGAAUGCUAAUACCCCAUAUGCUUUCGAGUGAAAUGGAUUUAUAUUUAUCCGCCUAGAGAGAAGCUCGCGGCUGAUUAGCUUGUUGGUAAGGUAAGAGCUUACCAAGGCGACGAUCAGUAUCUGGUUUGAGAGGACGAUCAGACACACUGGAACUGAGACACGGUCCAGACUCCUACGGGAGGCAGCAGUGGGGAAUUUUCCGCAAUGGGCGAAAGCCUGACGGAGCAAUACCGCGUGAGGGAAGACUGCCUAUGGGUUGUAAACCUCUUUUUUCAGGGAGGAAUCAAUGACGUGUACCUGAAGAAUAAGCAUCGGCUAACUCCGUGCCAGCAGCCGCGGUAAGACGGAGGAUGCAAGUGUUAUCCGGAAUCACUGGGCGUAAAGCGUCUGUAGGUGGUUUAAUAAGUCAACUGUUAAAUCUUGAGGCUCAACUUCAAAAUCGCAGUCGAAACUAUUAGACUAGAGUAUAGUAGAGGUAAAGGGAAUUUCCAGUGGAGCGGUGAAAUGCGUAGAUAUUGGAAAGAACACCGAUGGCGAAAGCACUUUACUGGGCUAUUACUAACACUCAGAGACGAAAGCUAGGGUAGCAAAUGGG